UACGAAGGGGGCUAGCGUUGUUCGGAAUUACUGGGCGUAAAGCGCACGUAGGCGGAUUGUUAAGUCGGGGGUGAAAUCCCAGGGCUCAACCCUGGAACUGCCUCCGAUACUGGCAAUCUGGAGUCCGGGAGAGGUGAGUGGAAUUCCGAGUGUAGAGGUGAAAUUCGUAGAUAUUCGGAAGAACACCAGUGGCGAAGGCGGCUCACUGGCCCGGAACUGACGCUGAGGUGCGAAAGCGUGGGGAGCAAACAGG
This 253-nucleotide ribosomal RNA is filed under the name uncultured bacterium. RNAcentral describes it as "partial 16S ribosomal RNA". It matches the Rfam family "Bacterial small subunit ribosomal RNA", at positions 524 to 776 of the family's 1533-position model. The record is from RNAcentral.